CAGUAGCCGCGGUAAUACGGAGGGUGCAAGCGUUAAUCGGAAUUACUGGGCGUAAAGCGCACGCAGGCGGUCUGACAAGUCAGAUGUGAAAUCCCCGGGCUUAACCUGGGAACUGCAUUUGAAACUGUCAGACUGGAGUCUUGUAGAGGGGGGUAGAAUUCCAGGUGUAGCGGUGAAAUGCGUAGAGAUCUGGAGGAAUACCGGUGGCGAAGGCGGCCCCCUGGACAAAGACUGACGCUCAGGUGCGAAAGCGUGGGGAGCAAACAGGAUUAGAGACCCCUGUAGUCCCUGUCUCUUAUAC
Molecule: ribosomal RNA, 301 nt
Filed under: uncultured bacterium
Lineage: Bacteria
Description: partial 16S ribosomal RNA
Rfam family: Bacterial small subunit ribosomal RNA
Source: RNAcentral